Molecule: transfer RNA, 92 nt
Rfam family: tRNA
About the family: Transfer RNA (tRNA) molecules are approximately 80 nucleotides in length. Their secondary structure includes four short double-helical elements and three loops (D, anti-codon, and T loops).
GGCUACCUGGCGCAAUGGUAGCGCGUUUGGCUUCGAUCGCCAUACGGUUACCCGACACCAAAAGGUUGCAGGUUCGAGUCCUGCGGUGGUCA